This is a non-coding RNA of Meleagris gallopavo (turkey), 1288 nucleotides long. The record is from the annotation of a RefSeq genome assembly. NCBI's taxonomy places the organism in Eukaryota, Metazoa, Chordata, Aves, Galliformes, Phasianidae.
UUCAAAAGGAAAUGUGGCUUCCUCUCCUCACCCAAGACACCAUCGACAAGCAUAGAAAACUAUUUGGUGUAUAAAGUAACUGCAACUGCAAAGCGGCUGCUCAGAAGAGGCUGCAAACCUGUCUGGGGUUGGAAGGAAAUCUGAGCCUUCAGCACCGGAGGACAUUGGGCAUUUCUCUUCUGCUUCAAGGAGAGGAAGGUCUGAGCCACUUGCAGCCCUGCUUCCUUGCCUCAUCCUGCACCAUGACAGUUCCUCUGGAGAAGCCUGCAAUGCUACUCUGGCUGCUGGUCAUCACCUUUGCUGCAGCCCCCAAAGAAAGACAAGAAGAUUCUACACCAGAUGUCAUUGCAAUUAAAUCAAAGGAAUGCAAACAAUAUGGCAAUGUAUCGUACAUAGCUUGUUUGGCAAGAACGUUCUACAAGAACAUCAGUCUUGAUGGGCCCAAGGGUGUCAUUGCGUAUGAUCUGAAGGAACCUAUUCUCACAUCAGAGGGGAUGUACAGUACCUUGAAAGUAGUUGGCAUAGAACCAGAUACAGAAGGGACCUGCAAAGCUGUGCAAAAGGGGAACAAGACAGUAGCGAGCACAGUCCCACCAGAAGAGAAAGAUGAAGAACUAGUGGCAGAGAAUGCUUGCAACUUUACAGAUGCCUUUAAAAAAGAUGUCAAAAUGGAGAAAAUGAACAUGCUGUUCAUGGUUGUUUUGGGUUUGAGGGUCCUGCUGACAAAAUGCAUCGCCUUCAACAUGCUCAUGAGUAUCUGUUCAUAUUCUGAGGUACUAGGUAAGUGAGCCAGCAGGGGGCUGAAGAAGAGAAGGAGAUAAUACAUAGCAGUAUAAUUCAAACUCUAUGGCUCAACUUUGCUCAUAAUAACCGUCUGAAGAAACAAAGAAGCACCCCCCCCAUUCCCAGUUCCUGUAGAUUUGAUUAAGUCCCAUCACUUCAUCAAGGUGUUCUUCAGUUAACAUCAUCUGAAAGCUAUCGUAAACUGUUAAUACUGCCAAACUCUUGCUUUUUUUCAGUUCCAUUUACUGUUAAAACAACAAUUUUUUAUUUCUUAUUUCCAUAUGAAUUUUCCUUCAUCCUUAUGCUAAGCAUGAAUACUUUAUUUUCUCACAUCUCUUACUUUAUCCACUGCAUUUAAGUAUCCAAAUAUCCUAGUUUUGAAAGUGUUAAAACUGAGCUAUCUUACUUACUAUGCUUUAAAAAUAACAUCUCUAAUCAUAUUGCAUUACUGUCUACAGAAGCAAUGCCACACUGUUUAGGGAUACCUAAGCAUAGAGGAAAUAUU